Long non-coding RNA from Zingiber officinale, 1296 nucleotides. RefSeq lists it as uncharacterized. Lineage: Eukaryota; Viridiplantae; Streptophyta; Magnoliopsida; Zingiberales; Zingiberaceae. The transcript has 6 exons. The record is from RefSeq and is a predicted model, not a curated record.
CAAAUCAUUGUGCGCGUUUCUUCCUCGCGACAGAGCUAGGGCACCAACGGUCGGCGGCCACUUCUCCUGAUUCACUGCCGCCGGCCGGAGCUUGUCCCUCACCUCCCGCGGUCAUCUCCUAUCCACAGCCACACUUCCUCUUCGGGAUUUCCAACGGCGUGCGGGCUAGGGCGACAACGACGGCAAGCCAUUCCAGGCGGCAAGCUUCGGCUCCGAUCAUCCACCUCACCGGAGGGGUUCUCCGGUGAGAUUCUUCACCUUCCGGCCAUCCCUGCCGUUUUCCCAGCAGCAGCUCUUCUCCAACAGACCUGGACAGAACCUCACAGCUCCGCCUUCAUCAGAUCCCGAACAGCAGCCUCUUCGUUCCACCAAGUCCGAACAGCAAGUUUAUUCUCCUAUUGUUGAUUCUGUGGUUUGCAUGGUUGAAGAUUUGAUACAUAAAGGAAAAAUUAUGGAAGCAGUUCCAAAGACAAGAGAAAGGUCAAGAAGUUGUAGCCCUCGGCCUAGGUUCUUCAUAACAUUGUUGUUGCAGAAUACUUUCACUGGAAUAUGUUACGUGAUUCAAUAACUCCUAUUUUUCCACUGGAUUGUUAAUCUCUUUUUGAUUUUGUGGAUAACUUUGCUACAAACUAUGCUCUGAAGAGAGUUUAUUAUGUCAACUAUGCAUUGGGGAUAUCUGGACGCAGGAAACCUUGCUGGCAUCUAUUAUGAACAAAGUCAACUUGACAUGGCAAUUCUGCAUUACAAGCAAGCUAUCAACUGUGAUUCUACCUUUAUUGAAGCUUACAAUAAUCUGGGGAAUGCUCUCAAAGACGCUGGACAUGUGGAAGAGGCUAUCAACUUCUAUAGGUCAUGCCUUGCUUUACAACCCAACCAUCCACAAGCAUUGUCAAGCCUUGGCAACAUGAUGACAAGCUUUAGAAAUGUUUGAUGACAACUGUGCGGAUAGUUUAUUUUUGUUCCUUAAUGAAACUUCUCUUCAUGCUGCAACAUGAUGAGUGUUGCUGCAUCAUUCUAUAAGGCAACUUUAGCAGUUACAACAGGGAUAUAUGUGCCCUUCAACAACUUGGCUAUUAUAUACAAGCAACAGGGAACUUAUGCAGAAGCAAUAGCCUGUUACAAUGAAGUUCUUCGCAGACUGUUUAAUGCAAAAGCGAUAGCCUGUUGCAUAUUGCCUCAUUUAAUGGAAGAAUGUUUGUGUAUUUUAUGGAUACUGUUGUAAGAAGAAUAUUUAUGUAAUUUGUGAAUAUUUGUGUAUUUUAUGGAUACUGUUGAAUGAAGAAUAUUUGUGUAAUU